AUUCGAUGCGCGAAGUCGAAUCGCGCAAUAAAAUGACAUUGUUCGUUGAUUUGUUGUGACAAUUAGACGUUUGAAAUUUUUUCGAGACGUGUGUUCUAUUUAGUGCAUAAUAUUUUAAUAAUAUUUUUUGUGUAGUUAUUUUUUUAUCAUUUGUGCGUUUUUAUUUAAUCAAUAUAUUUUUAUUCAAUAUUUUAUUAUUAAAAUUGAUAAUUGUUUGACAGCUAAAUCAUUUUGAAUUUUUUAUUUAUUAUAUAAUUCGAGUGUUGAAUUUAAUAAGAUAGCUUAUGUGAAUUUUUACUUGAUUUGAUUGUUGUAACAUGUUAACGUAAUCUAAUUUCAUAUAUUUUAUUCAUUUAUUUAGAAGUUUUAAUUUUUUUUCUGCACAGGUUUAAUUGGUAUCGUCAUAAUAGCUCUUAAAAGGCGGGAAAAAUUCCAAUAUGGACGCCAUAUCUUUCUUGAUGACGUGGUAUUUUAUAUUUCGUAUUUUAUAUUUCGUAUGUAUAAAUUUUUAUUCUAUUUUAUUGAAUUAUUAGUGAUUGUUGUUAAAAGUAAAAGUAUUUUCAGAACAAAUGCUCGAUAGGAAGAAGAAGAAAAAUAUUAAAAUAAUAUUGUUUCUUCUUCUAUCUCUCUCCACCCCUCUACUAAUUUAAUGUUAAUUUCAGAAAAUAUUUGUGAUCGCGCGCAAUGCGGUUAAUAGAAUCAGUGUUUGUUUCGUCAUAGUAUUUUAAAUAUUUUUUAGAGCACAAUAGCUUGAAUUAAGUUUAAUUAUAAUAGUUAUACGCGAAAUUAGAAUCAGUGCUUGUUUGCCGAUUACAAAAUGUAUACUGCCGCGUUAAUA
Apis florea (little honeybee) is the source of this 838-nucleotide long non-coding RNA. NCBI's taxonomy places the organism in Eukaryota, Metazoa, Arthropoda, Insecta, Hymenoptera, Apidae. The record is from RefSeq and is a predicted model, not a curated record.